UGUAUUGGUUGGUGCAAAAGUGAUUGCGGUUUUUGCCAUUCCUUUUAAUGACAAAAACUGCAAUUACUUUUGCACCAAUCUAAUAAA
Molecule: microRNA precursor, 87 nt
Filed under: Chlorocebus sabaeus (green monkey)
Lineage: Eukaryota; Metazoa; Chordata; Mammalia; Primates; Cercopithecidae
Description: miRNA (ENSCSAG00000021490.1)
Source: RNAcentral